Molecule: ribosomal RNA, 1650 nt
Filed under: marine metagenome
Description: bacterial LSU rRNA
Rfam family: Bacterial large subunit ribosomal RNA
Source: RNAcentral
AGGAUAUUCCUUGUGAAUCUGCGAGGACCACCUCGUAAGGCUAAGUACGACCAGCGACCGAUAGUGAACAAGUACCGUGAGGGAAAGGUGAAAAGUACCCCGGCGAGGGGAGUGAAAUAGUACCUGAAACCAAUAGCUUACAAGCAGUAGGAGGGAUUUUAUAUCCUGACUGCCUGCCUUUUGAAGAAUGAGCCUACGAGUUAUCCGUAUGUGGCAAGGUUAAGGAGUAAAUCCGUAGCCGCAGCGAAAGCGAGUUUUAAUAGAGCGUCUAGUCGCAUGCGAUAGACCCGAAGCCAAGUGAUCUAUCCAUGGGCAGGGUGAAGCGGAAGUAAGAUUUCGUGAAGGCCCGAACCCACUGAUGUUGCAAAAUCAGGGGAUGACCUGUGGAUAGGGGUGAAAGGCCAAUCAAACUUGGUGAUAGCUGGUUCUCUCCGAAAUGUCUUUAGGGACAGCGUUAUAUGUUGCGCUUUGGAGGUAGAGCACUGAUUGGGCUAGGGGGCCAACAAGCUUACUGAACUCAGUCAAACUCCGAAUGCCAAAGUGUAUAAAUAUAGCAGUGAGCCUAUGGGGGAUAAGCUCCAUAGACGAGAGGGAAACAACCCAGAUCAUCAGCUAAGGCCCCUAAAUGUAUGUUAAGUGUGAAACGAUGUGAGAGUGUUCAGACAGCCAGGAGGUUGGCUUAGAAGCAGCCAUUCCUUUAAAGAGUGCGUAACAGCUCACUGGUCGAAUGUUCUCGCGCGGAAAAUGUAACGGGGCUAAACAUACUGCCGAAGCUAUGGGAUCUUACUAAUCUUGAUAUUUAUAUCCAGGAGGUAAGAUCGGUAGGAGAGCGUUGUAUGGACAGCGAAGCAGCAACGUAAGUUAGUUGUGGAGACCAUACAAGUGAGAAUGUAGGCAUGAGUAGCGAAGGAAGAGUGAGAAUCUCUUCCGCCGAAUGUCCAAGGGUUCCUGGGGAAGGUUCGUCCGCCCAGGGUUAGUCGGGACCUAAGGCGAGGUCGAGAGACGUAGUCGAUGGAUAACAGAUUGAUAUUUCUGUACCACUAAUAACACGCCCAAAUCGAAUAUAUGUUGCUAAGGAAAGCCCUUCGGGGCCUACCGACCCACAUAUUACUAGAUUAGCGAUGGAGCAACGGAGAAGGAUAGAUGAACCCAGGCGAUGGUUGUCCUGGGGUAAGUGAGUAGGGUUGUUAAUAGGCAAAUCCGUUAACAAUAAACCUGAGACACGAUGCCGAGCCGCUUUUAGGCGAAGUCAUUGAUUCCAUACUUCCAAGAAAAACUUCUAGUUAGUUUUAUUAGUGCCCGUACCCCAAACCGACACAGGUGGACAAGUAGAGAAUACUAAGGCGAGCGAGAGAACUCUGGUUAAGGAACUCGGCAAAAUAGUUCCGUAACUUCGGGAGAAGGAACGCCCAAGUAAAGUGAUUAAUUAACUUUAUAAGCUUGAAAGGGCCGCAGUGAUCAGACUCAAGCGACUGUUUAUCAAAAACACAGGAGGAUGCAAAGUUCUAAUACAACGUAUAUCCUCUGACACCUGCCCGGUGCUGGAAGGUUAAGUGGAGAGGUUAGCUUCGGCGAAGCUUUGAAAUUAAGCCCCAGUAAACGGCGGCCGUAACUAUAACGGUCCUAAGGUAGCGAAAUUCCUUGUCGGGU